Molecule: long non-coding RNA, 403 nt
Organism: Peromyscus maniculatus bairdii (prairie deer mouse)
Lineage: Eukaryota; Metazoa; Chordata; Mammalia; Rodentia; Cricetidae
Source: RefSeq, a predicted model, not a curated record
GUUCUACAUAUUGAUCCCUGGGCAACAGGAAGAGAAUGCCACACUGGCUGUGGCUUGAGCUCCUGAGACCUCAAUGCCUACCAACUACUACUGAAAAUGGAGCCUGCCCUGGAGUGUGGCUGAUAGACUAAGUAACACUGCAUUGAGGGAAACUGAUUUUCUGUUUUCCUUAGAUAUCAGUGACACAUAGCUCCUUGAUUAGAGUCAUCUCUCUUGUGCUUUGGUGACUGCAUGCUGACUGACCAUCAGAAUGGUCCAUAUAAGUACAGUGAUUUGAAUAAACUUUGCCAACAGAGAACUGAGGACAGUUUCAGUUGUCAUAGGAUCAGUAGCAACAUCAGGUUUGUGAUUCCGUCAAGAUUCCUUAUAAGAUUGCCUUUCAAGGUUCCACCCUCCUGAAUGC